Molecule: long non-coding RNA, 1158 nt
Organism: Scylla paramamosain (green mud crab)
Lineage: Eukaryota; Metazoa; Arthropoda; Malacostraca; Decapoda; Portunidae
Exons: 5
Source: RefSeq, a predicted model, not a curated record
CUUCUUUUUUUUCUCUACCUCCUCAUCGUUCCUGCCAUAGUCUCAGGCAAGUUUACUCGUACCCCGCCAUCUGUUGAGCGGCUCAGGCAUCUUAACAAGCCUUCUCAGCGGUCCUACCCAACCUGGCUCGCUCCGCCCCGCCCCGCUGCCUCCCGCCUCAUCGGUCUCGGCCACACCGCACCUCAGUGGCGAGCAGAAGGCGGCGGACGCUGACUACUUGAGGCGCAGGCGACGACGACGAGCGCUCAGAAGUUAUAAUAAGGCGCGUUUUCUUUCUUCUUACGAUAGAGGAAGGAAAAAUGAGCGGACUAUUCGGGAGCUUCGCGUCUGCCAGUGGCUACGGGCAGUCACACGGCGGCGGGUACGGAAAGGAGAUCGAAUGUAACUCCGCCCUUGGAUUGAUUGGUCUUCUGGGUCUCAUCGAGCUGCUAAGGGACAUCAUUGAGAACAUGGUUACGAUGCCUGCUAUGCGGCGGAGGCAGAAGUGUGGCUGACAAAGGCGUCUUCAGAAACUCCUUGGUGGGGGCCUUGUUUCGUGGCGGCGCAGAAAACCACCACCCGCUCGGCUCCCUCCCCGUCCUCCUGCUGCCCCUGCUGCACAGUGCCGUGGACGCCGCCGACGGCCUGCUUCCUCCUGCCUGCUUCGAGCAGGACUGUCUGCGAAAACCAACCGUGCCUUAGCCUCGGAGGGAACGACUUGGGGUGUUCCUGGGGCGUUCUUGACCAACUCCACGUCCUUCCCUCAUCACCAGUGUGGUAGCCAGAAGGCCUUCACUAGUGAUGAGGACGCCUACACGAGGGCGCUGCAGGCUGGGGAGACAGGAAGGGCGGGCGUGAAUUGUGAGACCGCGUAUUCCACCUGUUUAGAUCCCCGUCCGGAGUAUUCAGUUGUGGAGGGUGUUGAUGUGAAGAGUGUGGUGAGGCGACAUACUGGCCGACCUUACUUAGACCAAACAAACAGACCGACAGACAGACAGACGGACAGACGGACAGACACAAAGAUAAGGACAGGGACAAAGUGAAGGAAGAAAUGAGAAUAUGAGAAUAAAAGCGACGGGAAUAUUAAUGGGUAUAAAAAAAAUAUUAAACAAUGGAAUCAGGAGACAAGGACAAUUAUACAGCAGCGGUGUUUGUCAGACUAUUCUUAGAAAUAAUAAA